UGGGCUGGUUUCCCACCCGUCAUCUCUGAGGGUGAUUGGGAUCUCUACAAAUAUGAGACACAGGGACUGGCCUGGUUCUGUAGGGAAGGUUCUGCAGCUGGUGGGACGGAAGCUUCUGCCCAAGUCUCUGGGCCUGGGCUGCUCUGCAGAGGCUGGGCAUGGAGCAGGGGGAGGAGCCAGGGUGAGCACAGGGAGGGCCUUGGGGCAGGGAGGAGACAGGAGAUGAGGAAGCAAUGAUGGUUCUGGGGAGUGGAGGGGAAGCCCCAGUAGAGGGAGGAGGAGCCUGGAGAUGCUGCUGGGAAGGACUGGACCAGACUUCCAUCCCUCUAACCUCUGCCCAGCCCAAGCAGCAGCCUGCAAUGAAUGUUUGUGCUGAGGACCGAGACCAGCUGUGUCAAUGUUAACUGCUGGUUCCAGGAUACUCUUUCCCAGGUGGAUGAGGGUGAAAACAAUAAAGAAUGUCACUCAUUGCUUCAGGGAAUUCCUGAAAACCAAUUAUCCAGGUGAUCCUGGCCCUCUGUCCCAAAGCCACAGACGCUGCAGGCAACUGAGUCCGCUCAGAGGAGGCCACUGAGCCUACAAGAUAGGACAGGAGAGAUUGAGCUAUAAAACCAUGACAAGUGCAUGGAGCAGCUAUUUGAGCACCAGGAAAGGAAAUGGUACGCAGCAGUUUGGGAUGGCCCCAGCAGAUGAAAUACAACAGAGUCAGUGUGAGACUGCUGGAUUUCCUCACUGUCCCCUGGCUGGGACUCCAGACAGCCCCAAACCUGAAGGGGCACAAACCUGAAAACAAAAAGAAGUCCAGAAAGCCCUCUUGUUCAGGAUCGAACUUGGGAAAGAAAACUUAUUUGGCUCAAAGUGAAGGCUCAGUCCCCUGCACAAGCAGGUGGUUCACACCUGUGUUCUCAUCUCUCUUAUACCAGCGCCUCUCCCUGGGUUCACACUGAUGUCCUAUGGAUGGAGACGGGGCUUCCUGCACCAGGUCACUCCACAGCCCCUGUAACCUGAAGCCCUGCAGACCAGCCUUGUUCAAUCACAAUGUGAUGUGAGCCUCAUGGGAAUCCCACUGUCUAGUCAUCAUGUUAUAAAUACAAAGAGAAGAAGUCAAUGAGUUUAAAUAAUGUAUUUUAUUUACCUAGCAUAUCAAAAAGAGUAUCAUUUUCAUAUAUAAUCUAAGUACAAUUAUUUAUGAUAUAUAUCAUAUACUUUGCAUGGCUAUUGUUAUUAUUUUUUGAAGAAUCUUUAUGUGGAGA
This 1253-nucleotide long non-coding RNA is filed under the name Homo sapiens (human). RNAcentral describes it as "HSALNT0405104". Lineage: Eukaryota; Metazoa; Chordata; Mammalia; Primates; Hominidae. The record is from RNAcentral.